Molecule: ribosomal RNA, 253 nt
Filed under: uncultured bacterium
Lineage: Bacteria
Description: partial 16S ribosomal RNA
Rfam family: Bacterial small subunit ribosomal RNA
Source: RNAcentral
UACGUAGGGUGCAAGCGUUAAUCGGAAUUACUGGGCGUAAAGCGUGCGCAGGCGGUGAUGUAAGACAGAUGUGAAAUCCCCGGGCUCAACCUGGGAACUGCAUUUGUGACUGCAUCGCUGGAGUACGGCAGAGGGGGAUGGAAUUCCACGUGUAGCAGUGAAAUGCGUAGAGAUGUGGAGGAACACCGAUGGCGAAGGCAGCCCCCUGGGCUGAGAUUGACGCUCAGGCACGAAAGCGUGGGGAGCAAACAGG